RNAcentral lists this ribosomal RNA (450 nucleotides) under uncultured bacterium. RNAcentral describes it as "bacterial SSU rRNA". It matches the Rfam family "Bacterial small subunit ribosomal RNA", at positions 30 to 524 of the family's 1533-position model. The record is from RNAcentral.
AUUGAACGCUGGCGGCAGGCCUAACACAUGCAAGUCGAACGGACCCUUCGGGGUUAGUGGUGGACGGGUGAGUAACACGUGGGAACGUGCCUUUUGGUUCGGAAUAGCUCCUGGAAACGGGUGGUAAUGCCGAAUGUGCCCUUCGGGGAAAGGAUUUAUCGCCAUUAGAGCGGCCCGCGUCUGAUUAGCUAGUUGGUGAGGUAAAGGCUCACCAAGGCUACGAUCAGUAGCUGGUCUGAGAGGAUGACCAGCCACAUUGGGACUGAGACACGGCCCAAACUCCUACGGGAGGCAGCAGUGGGGAAUCUUGCGCAAUGGGCGAAAGCCUGACGCAGCCAUGCCGCGUGUAUGAUGAAGGUCUUAGGAUUGUAAAAUACUUUCACCGGUGAAGAUAAUGACUGUAGCCGGAGAAGAAGCCCCGGCUAACUUCGUGCCAGCAGCCGCGGUAAU